RNAcentral lists this ribosomal RNA (464 nucleotides) under uncultured bacterium. RNAcentral describes it as "partial 16S ribosomal RNA". It matches the Rfam family "Bacterial small subunit ribosomal RNA", at positions 28 to 507 of the family's 1533-position model. The record is from RNAcentral.
AUUGAACGCUGGCGGCAGGCCUAACACAUGCAAGUCGAGCGGAUGAGGGGAGCUUGCUCCUGGAUUCAGCGGCGGACGGGUGAGUAAUGCCUAGGAAUCUGCCUCGUAGUGGGGGAUAACGUCCGGAGACGGGCGCUAAUACCGCAUACUUCCUGAUGGAGAAAGUGGGGGAUCUUCGGACCUCGCGGUAGGAGAUGGGUGUAGGUGGGAUUAGCUAGUUGGUGGGUUAAUGGCCUACCAAGGCGACGAUGGGUAGCUGGCCUGAGAGGAUGAACGGUCACAUUGGGACUGAGAUACGGACCAGACUGCUACGGGAGGCAGCAGUGGGGAAUAUUGCACAAUGGGCGGAAGCCUGAUGCAGCAACGCCGCGUGCGGGAUGACGUCCUUCGGGUUGUAAACCGCUUUCGCCUGUGACGAAGCGUGAGUGACGGUAAUGGGUAAAGAAGCACCGGCUAACUACGUG